This 458-nucleotide ribosomal RNA is filed under the name uncultured Psychrobacter sp. RNAcentral describes it as "bacterial SSU rRNA". It matches the Rfam family "Bacterial small subunit ribosomal RNA", at positions 1067 to 1520 of the family's 1533-position model. Lineage: Bacteria; Pseudomonadati; Pseudomonadota; Gammaproteobacteria; Moraxellales; Moraxellaceae. The record is from RNAcentral.
GUGAGAUGUUGGGUUAAGUCCCGCAACGAGCGCAACCCUUGUCCUUAGUUACCAGCGGGUUAAGCCGGGAACUCUAAGGAUACUGCCAGUGACAAACUGGAGGAAGGCGGGGACGACGUCAAGUCAUCAUGGCCCUUACGACCAGGGCUACACACGUGCUACAAUGGUAGGUACAGAGGGCAGCUACACAGCGAUGUGAUGCGAAUCUCAAAAAGCCUAUCGUAGUCCAGAUUGGAGUCUGCAACUCGACUCCAUGAAGCUGGAAUCGCUAGUAAUCGUAGAUCAGCAUGCUACGGUGAAUACGUUCCCGGGUCUUGUACACACCGCCCGUCACACCACGGAAGUCGAUAACACCUGAAGCCGGUGGGCCAACCAUUUAUGGAGGCAGCCGUCGAAGGUGGGAUGGAUGACUGGGGUGAAGUCGGAACAAGGUAGCCGUAUCGGCGUCAACGCGGCCG